Camelus dromedarius (Arabian camel) is the source of this 1365-nucleotide long non-coding RNA. RefSeq lists it as uncharacterized. Lineage: Eukaryota; Metazoa; Chordata; Mammalia; Artiodactyla; Camelidae. The transcript is spliced from 4 exons. The record is from RefSeq and is a predicted model, not a curated record.
GCACCAUAGCAUGGUGUGAAGAUAGACCCAUGAGAUACGUGCCAGCUGCUUCAACAAGUGUGAGAGACAGGGUUUUUACCAAAUAUAUUUCAAGUGUUGCCUUAUCGGCCAUUGGAAUUCAGAGCCUUCUUUUCUUAUUACAAUGCCAUCUGCAACAAAGAAACAGGCCAGCUCAGCAGAGCUGACAAAGAACUCAUCAUUGUGAAGACCAGCCUAGCCAAUAGGUGUCCAUACAGCGUGGCUGUCCACAGUGCUCGGUACAGGGUCUUCUUAAAGAACCCAGUGCUCUCUGACCAGGUCUGUGUGAACUGGAGAAAGUCUGACCUCCCUGCCCGGGAAAAGGCGAUGCUGGAGUUUGCACUUGCUGUUUCCUGAGCUGAUGAAAUAACAGAUGAUCAUUCCAAAAAGCUCACGAUGCAUGGCUUCAACCAGAAGAUGCCUGGGAUAUAGCUGCAAUUUCAGCUUUUUAUGCCAUGUCAAACUGUCUUGCUCAGUUUGUCAAUCUUGUUCCCCCAAAAAGAAUUCUAUUUGAUGGGUAGAACCAAUAAUGUCAGAGACAUAAGGAGUGAACCUGCUGCUCCCAAAGUAUAAAAGCCUGGACAGAAAGGCCCGUGUUUACAUUCAGGACCAUUGCAUUAUAAGAUAUCAGUUGGGAGUUAAAUUUAAAAAUGUUUAGUCAAUGGAUAGGGAAAAAAGUAAAUAAAUUUAUUCCCUGCUUGCUUGAUGAGAUAGAUCCUAAGGGACAUGCAUGUGAUACUUGGGCCUAGGGGAAACCUUUGCCAAUAUUUCACUCUUGCUGUGAUCUGGAAGGAGCAUCAGGGGGCAAAGGAGUUCAGAGAAUGCUUUGGGCAUUUCUGAUGAACUGAUAUCUGUGAAUUUCAGCAACUGAGGUUGAAAAUUUUUUAGCUUUCAAAAAUAAUGUUUCAUAAAUAUUGGUCUAUAUAGACUGGUUUGAAAUCAAUUCCUUGUUAACAUGGUUGUACUUAAAGGCUCUCACAGGCAGUGGGUAAAUAGAAGCAGGUGCAAAGUUGUUCUAUCUUUAAUGCCUUUUUCGUUAACCUCCAGUGAUUUUUUUUUAACUGAAGGGUUCUAUCAUAGUCAUCUCAAUAGAAUCUUAGUCCUUAUUCAGUUUAUUCUUAUUUUAGGUUUUAGUAAAAAUAUUUGGAACAAGAGAGCACGCACAUUUUAAGUAGAAGCAUAAGAAAAAAAAACCCCUGACAUUACUAAAUGACUUGUUCUGUGUGUGACAACCACCACUGCCUGAAGUUUGUGGCUAUCUUAACUUUUCAAGAAUCAUUUUCAUUAUCUAACUGAUAGAGGUACUUGCAAACCUACAAAAUGUUUUGGCUCCCACUUAGCUUCUUU